AUUGAACGCUGGCGGCGUGCUUAACACAUGCAAGUCGAGCGGCAGCGCGGGAGCAAUCCUGGCGGCGAGCGGCGAACGGGUGAGUAAUGCUUCGGAAUCUGCCCUUCAGUGGGGAAUAACCAGUCGAAAGACUGGCUAAUACCGCAUACGAACUGAGGUUGAAAGCAGGGGAUCGCAAGACCUUGCGCUGAUGGAUGAGCCGAAGUCGGAUUAGCUUGUUGGUGGGGUAAUGGCCUACCAAGGCGACGAUCCGUAGCUGGUCUGAGAGGACGACCAGCCACACUGGGACUGAGACACGGCCCAGACUCCUACGGGAGGCAGCAGUGGGGAAUAUUGGACAAUGGGGGCAACCCUGAUCCAGCGACGCCGCGUGUGUGAAGAAGGCCUGCGGGUUGUAAAGCACUUUUAGUGGGGAGGAAGGUCUGCGACCUAACACGUCGUGGAAUUGACUUAACCCACAGAAAAAGCACCGGCUAACUCUGUGC
This 485-nucleotide ribosomal RNA is filed under the name uncultured bacterium. RNAcentral's name for it is "bacterial SSU rRNA". It matches the Rfam family "Bacterial small subunit ribosomal RNA", at positions 30 to 508 of the family's 1533-position model. The record is from RNAcentral.